RNAcentral lists this ribosomal RNA (253 nucleotides) under uncultured bacterium. RNAcentral's name for it is "partial 16S ribosomal RNA". It matches the Rfam family "Bacterial small subunit ribosomal RNA", at positions 524 to 776 of the family's 1533-position model. The record is from RNAcentral.
UACGUAGGGUGCAAGCGUUAAUCGGAAUUACUGGGCGUAAAGCGUGCGCAGGCGGUUUUGCCAGUAUGAUGUGGAAGCCCCGGGCUUAACCUGGGAACGGCAUUGGAGACUGCAAGGCUAGAGUGCGUCAGAGGGGGGUAGAAUUCCACGUGUAGCAGUGAAAUGCGUAGAGAUGUGGAGGAAUACCGAUGGCGAAGGCAGCCCCCUGGGAUGACACUGACGCUCAUGCACGAAAGCGUGGGGAGCAAACAGG